UUGUAAAAUGCAGAUUCUGAGGCCCUGGAACCCUUGAAGUCUUGACUGCGGAGUCUGGGAAGAAUUCAACAAUCUGAACUUGAGUCAAGUUGCCCUGGUGAUCUGAAACCUCACUAUGAGUAGCUCCCUAAUCCCCCGUGGGCUCUGUCUGCCUUUCCUGUCAGUUGCUGACCCCAGGUAGGCGUUUCUCCUGGCUGGUAAGGGCUGGAGCAAUUCCCUUUUCCUGAAAGGACUUCUCCGCCUCCUUCUGAGGGCACAGAAGGAAUGCUCCCUCCAGCCAGGUGACGUUGGAAACAGGUAUCAGAGAGGAGCCAGGUCUCAGGACACAGGUGUGUAUGGGGCUGCUGGACCUGCAGAAGCCUGAAUUCAACACUGAGCUGCCUCACCAGCACAGAUUCCUUCCCACAACCCAGCUGCGUGAACAUGGGCACAUCAUUUUGCCUAUCUGAGCCUCAGUUUUCCUCAUCUGUAGAAUGGGUACAUGCAUAACAUCAACUUCACUGGUGAGAUCCCGUGUGUUAAGCACUUGACACAUCAUCUGGCAUCUCCAGAAGCUGAAUAAGCCAAGAAAAUGGAAUCUCCCAGAGCAUCCCAAAGGAGCCAGCCCUGCCCACACCUUGGUGAGCCCAUUGUGGCUGAGUUCAUAUUUCUGAUGUCUAGAGUCGUAAUAUGAUACAUUUAAGUUGUUUUGUAAGCCACUCAACUGCUGGUGUU
Long non-coding RNA from Nycticebus coucang (slow loris), 714 nucleotides. RefSeq lists it as uncharacterized. Lineage: Eukaryota; Metazoa; Chordata; Mammalia; Primates; Lorisidae. The transcript is spliced from 3 exons. The record is from RefSeq and is a predicted model, not a curated record.